Fundulus heteroclitus (mummichog) is the source of this 513-nucleotide long non-coding RNA. RefSeq lists it as uncharacterized. The record is from RefSeq and is a predicted model, not a curated record. Lineage: Eukaryota; Metazoa; Chordata; Actinopteri; Cyprinodontiformes; Fundulidae. The transcript has 3 exons.
GAGGAAGUAGUUCUGGUUCUGCUAACUGCAGAAGAGGUCAGACUCUGAGUGAGGUAAAAUGAAGAGAAAUAUUACAUUACUUCAUUAGCAGUGGGUCCAGCAGUGAUAAGUGGGAAGGCGUUCAGGAUGGGCAGAUGCAGAAUCAGACAACAGAGAAGAACAAGAUCCCCAAGAAUCUACUCUGCAAAGUGAAUAUCAAGACAGUGUGACCUGCAGGACUGGCCUGCUAAACCCCAUUACACACACAACUCUCACUGAUAAGGUCUCCGUUGGGAAAAAAGAUGCAGACAGCGCUUGCCAAUGUUCCCCCAGAUGCUGCGAGGACAGAGAAAGCUCCUGUGCAGGAGAACGGAGAGCAGAAAUUGACGUGGAUGAUUGAGUAAAAAUGCAGGAAAAGCAGCCUUUCAGCACGCUCAGCUGAUCUGAGAGGAAAAAACAAUCGCUAUUUGCAUAUAUUUAUUGAAAUGUCUCGCUGCAUCUUUGUCCUAUUGCAGGAGCAUGACGUUAGGGAGU